Molecule: ribosomal RNA, 35 nt
Filed under: Talaromyces pinophilus
Lineage: Eukaryota; Fungi; Ascomycota; Eurotiomycetes; Eurotiales; Trichocomaceae
Description: partial 18S ribosomal RNA
Source: RNAcentral
ACCUUAGAUUCGUAGUGACCUGCGGAGGAUCAUUA